RNAcentral lists this unclassified non-coding RNA (485 nucleotides) under Hevea brasiliensis (rubber tree). Lineage: Eukaryota; Viridiplantae; Streptophyta; Magnoliopsida; Malpighiales; Euphorbiaceae. The record is from RNAcentral.
ACGAGUGAGAUACAAAGGGCGACAGCCAUGCCCAGUAUGAGUGAAAUUAUCUGAACCAAUGAACUUCUAAAUGUUGAGCUACUGUUGUUCAUUUCUGCAAGCACUCCAGCAACAGCAAUGUAUAUGAAGCCGCCAGCCGUAAAUCCCUCAAUCAAAGAUGACUGUCCUGGAUCUUGUCCCCAGAGCAAAGCCAAUACAGUUCCUGCUAGAGCCAACAACGCUGAAAGGAAGUUGAAAAAAAGGGCUUUAGUUACACUAAAACCAGAUCUUACCAGAAUUCCAAAAUCUCCCACCUCCUGAGGAAGUUCAUGUGCAAGCAAAAAUAGAGUUCUAGACCAUCCUCCAAUAGACCCAUAGAGGAGAAAUGCAUUUCCUAAAGCCAUUCCAUCAGUAAAAUUGUGAACACCAUCAGAAAACAAAUUGAGAUAACCAAACACCAGAUUUGAUGGUGCCUGACCAACUUCCUUUUUGUUCAGGGAUUUUUU